AUUUUUAGAGGAUAGCAGAACAUCCGUUGGCCUUAGGAGUCACAAAUUUAGGUGCAAGUCCUAAUAAAAAUA
The sequence is a transfer RNA, 72 nucleotides long. It matches the Rfam family "tRNA". From Rfam's summary of the family: Transfer RNA (tRNA) molecules are approximately 80 nucleotides in length. Their secondary structure includes four short double-helical elements and three loops (D, anti-codon, and T loops).